GACGAACGCUGGCGGCGUGCUUAACACAUGCAAGUCGAACGGAAAGGCCCUGCUUUUGUGGGGUGCUCGAGUGGCGAACGGGUGAGUAUCACGUGAGUAACCUGCCCUUGACUUUGGGAUAACUUCAGGAAACUGGGGUGAUAAUAGGAUAUGAGAUCCUGCUGCACGGUGGGGGUGGGAAAGUGUCGGCGGUUGGGGAUGGACGCGCGGUUUAUCAGCUUGUUGGUGGGGUGGUGGCGUACCAAGGCUUUGAGGGGUAGCCGGCCUGAGAGGGUGACCGGCCACAUUGGGACUGAGGUACGGCCCAGACGCCUACGGGAGGCAGCAGUGGAGAAUAUUGCACAAUGGGCGGAAGCCUGAUGCAGCAACGCCGCGUGCGGGAUCACGGCCUUCGGGUUGUAACCCGCUUUCGCCUGUGACGAAGCGUGAGUGACGGUAAUGGGUAAAGAAGCACCGGCUAACUACGUG
This 468-nucleotide ribosomal RNA is filed under the name uncultured bacterium. Its description in RNAcentral is "partial 16S ribosomal RNA". It matches the Rfam family "Bacterial small subunit ribosomal RNA", at positions 28 to 507 of the family's 1533-position model. The record is from RNAcentral.